Molecule: ribosomal RNA, 754 nt
Filed under: uncultured archaeon
Lineage: Archaea
Description: bacterial SSU rRNA
Rfam family: Archaeal small subunit ribosomal RNA
Source: RNAcentral
GGGUAACAUGCCCUAAGGUGGGGGAUAAUCUCGGGAAACUGAGGAUAAUACCCCAUAGGUCUGAUAUGCUGGAAUGCUUUCAGGCCGAAAACUCCGGUGCCUUAGGAUUGGCCUGCGGUCUAUCAGGCUGUAGUGGGUGUAAUGGACCCACUAGCCCGUGACGGAUAUGGGCCUUGAGAGAGGGAGCCCAGAGAUGGACUCUGAGACAUGAGUCCAGGCCCUACGGGGCGCAGCAGUCGCGAAAACUUCGCAAUGGGGGCAACCCCGACGAGGGAAUUCCAAGUGCCAGCACUUUGUGUUGGCUGUUCUCCUGUCUAAAAAACAGGAGGAGUAAGGGGCGGGUAAGACGGGUGCCAGCCGCCGCGGUAAUACCCGCGCCCCUAGUGGUGGUCGAUAUUAUUGAGCCUAAAACGUCCGUAGCCGGUCUUCUAAAUCCUUGGGUAAAUCGGGCAGCUUAACUGUCCGAAGUCCGGGGAGACUGGGAGACUUGGGACCGGGAGAGGUCAGAGGUACUUCUGGGGUAGGGGUAAAAUCCUGUAAUCCUGGAAGGACCACCGGUGGCGAAGGCGUCUGACUAGAACGGAUCCGACGGUGAGGGACGAAGCCCUGGGGCGCAAACGGGAUUAGAUACCCCGGUAGUCCAGGGUGUAAACGCUGCGGGCUUGGUGUUGGGGGUCCUUAGUGGGCGCCCAGUGCCGGAGAGAAGUUGUUAAGCCUGCUGCUUGGGGAGUAUGUCCGCAAGGAUGAAACUUAA